This 467-nucleotide ribosomal RNA is filed under the name uncultured bacterium. RNAcentral describes it as "partial 16S ribosomal RNA". It matches the Rfam family "Bacterial small subunit ribosomal RNA", at positions 29 to 507 of the family's 1533-position model. The record is from RNAcentral.
ACGCACGCUGGCGGCGUGCUUAACACCUGCAAGUCGCACGGAAAGGCCCUGCUUUUGUGGGGUGCUCGAGUGGCGAACGGGUGAGUAACACGUGAGUAACCUGCCCUUGACUUUGGGAUAACUUCAGGAAACUGGGGCUAAUACCGGAUAGGAGCUCCUGCUGCAUGGUGGGGGUUGGAAAGUUUCGGCGGUUGGGGAUGGACUCGCGGCUUAUCAGCUUGUUGGUGGGGUAGUGGCUUACCAAGGCUUUGACGGGUAGCCGGCCUGAGAGGGUGACCGGCCACAUUGGGACUGAGAUACGGCCCAGACUCCUACGGGAGGCAGCAGUGGGGAAUAUUGCACAAUGGGCGGAAGCCUGAUGCAGCAACGCCGCGUGCGGGAUGACGGCCUUCGGGUUGUAAACCGCUUUCGCCUGUGGCGAAGCGUGAGUGACGGUAAUGGGUAAAGAAGCACCGGCUAACUACGUG